CAACAGUUAGCCACUGCCUGUU
Molecule: unclassified non-coding RNA, 22 nt
Filed under: Mus musculus (house mouse)
Lineage: Eukaryota; Metazoa; Chordata; Mammalia; Rodentia; Muridae
Description: oocyte_clustered_small_RNA868
Source: RNAcentral